This 460-nucleotide ribosomal RNA is filed under the name uncultured bacterium. RNAcentral's name for it is "partial 16S ribosomal RNA". It matches the Rfam family "Bacterial small subunit ribosomal RNA", at positions 338 to 795 of the family's 1533-position model. The record is from RNAcentral.
CCUACGGGAGGCAGCAGUGAGGAAUAUUGGUCAAUGGACGAGAGUCUGAACCAGCCAAGUAGCGUGAAGGAUGACUGCCCUAUGGGUUGUAAACUUCUUUUAUAUGGGAUUACAACGUUUCACGUGUGUGAUUUUGUAUGUACCAUAUGAAUAAGGAUCGGCUAACCCCGCGCCAGCAGCGGCGGUAAUACGGAGGGUCCGAGCGUUGUACGGAUUUAUUGGGUUUAAAGGGAGCGUAGGUGGAUUGUUAAGUCAGUUGUGAAAGUUUGCGGCUCAACCGUAAAAUUGCAGUUGAAACUGGCAGUCUUGAGUGCAGUAGAGGUGAGCGGAAUUCGUGGUGUAGCGGUGAAAUGCUUAGAUAUCACGAAGAACUCCGAUUGCGAAGGCAGUUCACUGGACUGCAACUGACACUGAGGCUCGAAAGUGUGGGUAUCAAACAGGAUUAGAUACCCCAGUAGUC